This 1525-nucleotide ribosomal RNA is filed under the name uncultured bacterium. Its description in RNAcentral is "bacterial SSU rRNA". It matches the Rfam family "Bacterial small subunit ribosomal RNA". The record is from RNAcentral.
AGAGUUUGAUCCUGGCUCAGAACGAACGCUGGCGGCAGGCCUAACACAUGCAAGUCGAGCGAGAAAGUUCCUUCGGGAAUGAGUAAAGCGGCGAACGGGUGCGUAACACGUAGGUAACCUGCCCUUAAGACCGGGACAACUUGCCGAAAGGUGGGCUAAUACCGGAUAAGACCACGAUUCCCACGGGUAUUGCGGUCAAAGGUGGCCUCUCCAUGGAAGCUUCCACUUAGGGAUGGGCCUGCGCACCAUUAGCUUGUUGGUAGGGUAACGGCCUACCAAGGCUACGAUGGUUAGCUGAUCUGAGAGGAUGAUCAGCCACACUGGAACUGAAAUACGGUCCAGACUUCUACGGAAGGCAGCAGUGGGGAAUAUUGCGCAAUGGGGGAAACCCUGACGCAGCAACGCCGCGUGAGUGACGAAGGCCCUCGGGUUGUAAAGCUCUGUCGAGAGGGACGAAAACAUCCUGGUCCAAUAGGCCGGGAUACUGACGGUACCUCUAAAGGAAGCACCGGCUAACUCCGUGCCAGCAGCCGCGGUAAUACGGAGGGUGCAAGCGUUGUUCGGAAUUACUGGGCGUAAAGCGAGUGUAGGCGGCUCUUUAUGUCGGGUGUGAAAGCCCUCGGCCCAACCGAGGAAGUGCGCCCGAAACUGGAGAGCUUGAGUACGAGAGAGGAGGACGGAAUCCCCAGUGUAGAGGUGAAAUUCGUAGAUAUUGGGAAGAACACCGGUGGCGAAGGCGGUUCUCUGGAUCGAUACUGACGCUAAGACUCGAAAGCGUGGGGAGCAAACAGGAUUAGAUACCCUGGUAGUCCACGCCGUAAACGAUGGAUACUAGUUGUUGGAAGCUUUUAAACUUUCAGUGACGACGCUAACGCAUUAAGUAUCCCGCCUGGGGAGUACGGCCGCAAGGUUAAAACUCAAAGGAAUUGACGGGGGCCCGCACAAGCGGUGGAGCAUGUGGUUUAAUUCGACGCAACGCGAAGAACCUUACCUGGACUUGACAUCUAGGGAAUUCCCCCUAAUAGGGGAAGUGCCCUUCGGGGAACCCUAAGACAGGUGCUGCAUGGCUGUCGUCAGCUCGUGUCGUGAGAUGUUGGGUUAAGUCCCGCAACGAGCGCAACCCUCGCCUUUAGUUGCUACUUCGCUUUCGGGCGAAGGCACUCUAAAGGGACUGCCCGGGUUAACCGGGAGGAAGGUGAGGAUGACGUCAAGUCCUCAUGGCCUUUAUGUCCAGGGCUACACACGUGCUACAAUGGUCGGUACAACGGGUUGCCAAACCGUGAGGUGGAGCUAAUCCCAUCAAAGCCGAUCUAAGUUCGGAUUGGAGUCUGCAACUCGACUCCAUGAAGUUGGAAUCGCUAGUAAUCGCGGAUCAGAACGUCGCGGUGAAUACGUUCCCGGGCCUUGUACACACCGCCCGUCACACCACGAAAGUUGUUUAUACCAGAAGUCGGUGAGCUAACCUUCGGGAGGCAGCCGCCCAAGGUAUGAGUGAUGAUUGGGGUGAAGUCGUAACAAGGUAACC